GUGAUGGCGUGCCUUUUGAAGAAUGAGCCUGCGAGUUGUGGCAUGUCGCGAGGUUAACCCGUGUGGGGUAGCCGUAGCGAAAGCGAGUCUGAAUAGGGCGUUUGAGUGGCAUGUUGCAGACCCGAAGCGGAGUGAUCUACCCAUGGCCAGGGUGAAGCGCCGGUAAGACGGUGUGGAGGCCCGAACCCACUUAGGUUGAAAACUGAGGGGAUGAGCUGUGGGUAGGGGUGAAAGGCCAAUCAAACUCCGUGAUAGCUGGUUCUCCCCGAAAUGCAUUUAGGUGCAGCGUUGCGUGUUUCUUCCCGGAGGUAGAGCACUGGAUGGUCUAGGGGGCCGACAAGCUUACCGAAAUCAACCAAACUCCGAAUGCCGGUGAAGUGAAGCGUGGCAGUGAGACUGUGGGGGAUAAGCUUCAUAGUCGAGAGGGAAACAGCCCAGACCACCAGCUAAGGCCCCUAAGCGUGCGCUAAGUGGGAAAGGAUGUGGGAUCGCUUAGACAACCAGGAGGUUGGCUUAGAAGCAGCCACCCUUGAAAGAGUGCGUAAUAGCUCACUGGUCAAGUGGUUCCGCGCCGACAAUGUAGCGGGGCUCAAGCGUACCGCCGAAGCUGUGGCAUGCAAACAUUACAUCCGCCAGUUUACUGGUGCAGUGGUUUGUGUGGGUAGGGGAGCGUCGUGCAUCCAGAGAAGCCGCGGGGUGACCUAGUGGUGGAGGGUGUUCGAGUGAGAAUGCAGGCAUGAGUAGCGAAAGCAGAGUGAGAAACUCUGCCGCCGAAUGACCAAGGGUUCCUGGGCCAGGUUAUUCCGCCCAGGGUGAGCCGGGACCUAAGGCGAGGCCGACAGGCGUAGUCGAUGGACAACGGGUUGAUAUUCCCGUGCCCGUGCGAGCGCGACAAUGGCGAACCUUUUGAUACUAACCACCUGGACACCGUUGAGUGGCCUUCGGGUUGUUCUUCGAUUGUUCGGCUGGGACCUGAUUUGGUAGUAGUCAAGCGAUGGGGUGACGCAGGAGGGUAGCUCCGCCAGUGAGUGGUUGUACUGGUGUAAGCCUGUAGCCCGACAUCUAGGUAAAUCCGGGUGUCGUGAAGGGUGAGAGGUGAUGCGUAGCCGAUUGAGGCGAAGUAGAGUGAUCCCAUGCUGUCGAGAAAAGCCUCUAGCGAGUUCUUGCGCGGCCCGUACCCUAAACCGACACAGGUGGUCAGGUAGAGAAUACCAAGGCGAUCGAGCGAACUAUGGUUAAGGAACUCGGCAAAAUACCUCCGUAACUUCGGGAGAAGGAGGGCCGCUGGCUUUGAAGCUCCUUGCGGGCUAGGGGUUGGCGGUCGCAGAGACCAGGCCCAAGCGACUGUUUACUAAAAACACAGGUCCGUGCGAAGUCGCAAGACGAUGUAUACGGACUGACGCCUGCCCGGUGCUGGAACGUUAAGAGGACCUGUUAGUCCCUUUGGGGGCGAAGCGGAGAAUUUAAGCGCCAGUAAACGGCGGUGGUAACUAUAACCAUCCUAAGGUAGCGAAAUUCCUUGUCGGGUAAGUUCCGACCUGCACGAAUGGCGUAACGACUUGGGCGCUGUCUCGACCAUAGACUCGGCGAAAUUGCACUACGAGUAAAGAUGCUCGUUACGCGCGGCAGGACGGAAAGACCCCGGGACCUUUACUAUAGCUUGGUAUUGGUGCUCGGUUCGGAUUGUGUAGGAUAGGUGGGAGACUGUGAAGCUGCGACGCUAGUUGUGGUGGAGUCAUCGUUGAAAUACCACUCUGUUCGAAUUGGGUGUCUAACUUCGGACCAUGAUCUGGUUCAGGGACAGUGCCUGGUGGGUAGUUUAACUGGGGCGGUUGCCUCCCAAAAUGUAACGGAGGCGCCCAAAGGUUCCCUCAGCCUGGUUGGCAAUCAGGUUUCGAGUGUAAGUGCACAAGGGAGCUUGACUGUGAGACAGACAUGUCGAGCAGGGACGAAAGUCGGGACUAGUGAUCCGGCACCACCUUGUGGAAGGGGUGUCGCUCAACGGAUAAAAGGUACCCCGGGGAUAACAGGCUGAUCUUGCCCAAGAGUCCAUAUCGACGGCAUGGUUUGGCACCUCGAUGUCGGCUCGUCGCAUCCUGGGGCUGGAGUAGGUCCCAAGGGUUGGGCUGUUCGCCCAUUAAAGCGGCACGCGAGCUGGGUUUAGAACGUCGUGAGACAGUUCGGUCCCUAUCCGCCGCGCGCGUAGGAGAAUUGAGGAAGGCUGUCCCUAGUACGAGAGGACCGGGACGGACGAACCUCUGGUGUGCCAGUUGUCCCGCCAGGGGCAUGGCUGGUUGGCUACGUUCGGAAGGGAUAACCGCUGAAGGCAUCUAAGCGGGAAGCUCGUUCCAAGAUGAGUUCUCCCACCACCUUUGCGUGGUUAAGGCCCCCCACAGACUAUGGGGUUGAUAGGCCAGAGAUGGAAGCCCUGUGAGGGGUGGAGUUGACUGGUACUAAUAGGCCGAGGGCUUCACCUCA
This 2478-nucleotide ribosomal RNA is filed under the name Actinospineispora spinosispora DSM 44797. Its description in RNAcentral is "bacterial LSU rRNA". It matches the Rfam family "Bacterial large subunit ribosomal RNA", at positions 593 to 2925 of the family's 2925-position model. The record is from RNAcentral. Lineage: Bacteria; Bacillati; Actinomycetota; Actinomycetes; Pseudonocardiales; Pseudonocardiaceae.